Molecule: long non-coding RNA, 1606 nt
Organism: Phasianus colchicus (ring-necked pheasant)
Lineage: Eukaryota; Metazoa; Chordata; Aves; Galliformes; Phasianidae
Source: Ensembl
CAGGGCUAUGAUAAUAAGAGGGCGGGGCUAUGGGGCUGGAAGGCUGGGAGGUGGCUCUAUGGGGGCAGGGGGCGUGGCCAGAGCGGGUGGGGGCGUGGUCAUGCAACCGGGGGCGUGGUUAAAUCCACGGGGGCGUGGCAUUACCAUAUAUGGCGCGGUGUGGGCCGAAGGAGGCGUGGCUUUGAUGUGGCGCUGAGGGGCGUGGUCUGUUAGGCCACGCCCCCCUCAAAGCCCCGCCCCCCACCCAGGAGCUUCAGCGCCCCCCGAUGACGGGGAGGACUCCGAGGAGACGUCGGUGUCGUCUGGGGACAGCANNNNNNNNNNNNNNNNNNNNNNNNNNNNNNNNNNNNNNNNNNNNNNNNNNNNNNNNGAUGUGGGGUCUCUGGGGGUCCCUAUGGGGGUCUGGGGGUGUCUGGGGGUCCCUGUGGGGUCUCUAUGGGUGCCUGUGGGUCUCUAUGGGGUUCUAUGGGUGUCUGGGGGUCUCUAUGGGUCUCUAUGGGUUCUUAUGGGGUUUCNNNNNNNGGAGCUUCAGCGCCCCCCGAUGACGGGGAGGACUCCGAGGAGACGUCGGUGUCGUCUGGGGACAGCAGCCCCCCAACGCCCCCCCCCAGUAAUGGCUGCACAGGUAGUGGGGUGGGGGGGGGAUGUGGGGUCUCUGGGGGUCCCUAUGGGGGUCUGGGGGUGUCUGGGGGUCCCUGUGGGGUCUCUAUGGGUCUCUAUGGGUCCCUAUGGGGUUCUAUGGGUGUCUGGGGGUCACUGUGGGUCUCUAUGGGUUCUUAUGGGGUUUCUGUGGGUCCUUAUGGUCCCUAUGGGUCUCUAUGGGUCUCUAUGGGUCUCUAUGGGGUCUUUGGGGUCCCUAUAGGUCUCUGUGGGUGUCUGGGGGUCUCUGGGGGUCUCUAUGGGUCCUUAUGGGGUUUCUGUGGGUCCCUGUGGUCCCUAUGGGUCUCUAUGGGUCUCUAUGGGUCUCUAUGGGGUCUUUGGGGUCCCUAUGGGUCUCUGUGGGUCCCUAUGGGGUUCUAUGGGUGUCUGGGGGUCUCUGUGGGUCUCUAUGGGCCCUUAUGGGGUUUCUGUGGGUCCCUGUGGUCCCUAUGGGUUCCUAUGGGUCUCUAUGGGUCUCUAUGGGGUCUUUGGGGUCCCUAUGGGUCUCUAUGGAUCCCUAUGGGUCUCUGUGGGUCUCUAUGGGUUCCUAUGGGUCUCUAUGGGGUCUUUGUGGGGUCUCUAUGGGUCCUUAUGGGGUCCCUGUGGGUGUCAGUGGGUCCCUAUGGGUCCCUAUGGGUCUCUAUGGGUUUCCAUGGGGUUUUUAUGGUGUCUCUAUGGGUCACUAUGGGUCCCUAUGAGUCUCUAUUGGUCCCUGUGGGUCUCUAUGGGUCUUUAUGGGGUUUUUAUGGGGUCCCUAUGGGUCUCUAUGGGUCUCUAUGGGUCUCUAUGGGUGUCUAUGGGUGUCUAUGGGUCUCUAUGGGGUUUUUUACAGGGUCUCUAUGGUUCCCUAUGGGUCCUAAUGGGUCUCUAUGGGGCUUUUAUGGGGUCUCUAUGGGUCCCUAUGGGGUUUUUUGGGGGUCUCUACGGGUUUCUUGCGGGGUCUCUAUGGGGUUCCUUUCCCUCACAG